This 228-nucleotide ribosomal RNA is filed under the name Triticum aestivum (bread wheat). RNAcentral describes it as "partial small subunit ribosomal RNA". The record is from RNAcentral. Lineage: Eukaryota; Viridiplantae; Streptophyta; Magnoliopsida; Poales; Poaceae.
AUGGAACAUUCCAUCCCUUUUUCCCGUGCAUAUGCAUCGGACUCGGAUGACGAUGGUCCCGAUGAACAAGUUGAUGCGGAGGGGUUCACGGUGAAGGUGGCCGAAGCUUUCGAGAAGGUAUUUGGUCGGGAUCAUCGGACUACAUUGUUCAAGGAUGUUAGUCUCGCGGAUGAAGCCGUGGUUGAUGGUGGCCAAUGUGUACCUCUUGGGGUUAGGCCAAGCUCUCAC